GGUUAAGCGACUAAGCGUACACGGUGGAUGCCCUGGCAGUCAGAGGCGAUGAAGGACGUGCUAAUCUGCGAUAAGCGUCGGUAAGGUGAUAUGAACCGUUAUAACCGGCGAUUUCCGAAUGGGGAAACCCAGUGUGUUUCGACACACUAUCAUUAACUGAAUCCAUAGGUUAAUGAGGCGAACCGGGGAACUGAAACAUCUAAGUACCCCGAGGAAAAGAAAUCAACCGAGAUUCCCCCAGUAGCGGCGAGCGAACGGGGAGCAGCCCAGAGCCUGAAUCAGUGUGUGUGUUAGUGGAAGCGUCUGGAAAGGCGCGCGAUACAGGGUGACAGCCCCGUACACAAAAAUGCACAUGCUGUGAGCUCGAUGAGUAGGGCGGGACACGUGGUAUCCUGUCUGAAUAUGGGGGACCAUCCUCCAAGGCUAAAUACUCCUGACUGACCGAUAGUGAACCAGUACCGUGAGGGAAAGGCGAAAAGAACCCCGGCGAGGGGAGUGAAAAAGAACCUGAAACCGUGUACGUACAAGCAGUGGGAGCACGCUUAGGCGUGUGACUGCGUACCUUUUGUAUAAUGGGUCAGCGACUUAUAUUCUGUAGCAAGGUUAACCGAAUAGGGGAGCCGAAGGGAAACCGAGUCUUAACUGGGCGUUAAGUUGCAGGGUAUAGACCCGAAACCCGGUGAUCUAGCCAUGGGCAGGUUGAAGGUUGGGUAACACUAACUGGAGGACCGAACCGACUAAUGUUGAAAAAUUAGCGGAUGACUUGUGGCUGGGGGUGAAAGGCCAAUCAAACCGGGAGAUAGCUGGUUCUCCCCGAAAGCUAUUUAGGUAGCGCCUCGUGAAUUCAUCUCCGGGGGUAGAGCACUGUUUCGGCAAGGGGGUCAUCCCGACUUACCAACCCGAUGCAAACUGCGAAUACCGGAGAAUGUUAUCACGGGAGACACACGGCGGGUGCUAACGUCCGUCGUGAAGAGGGAAACAACCCAGACCGCCAGCUAAGGUCCCAAAGUCAUGGUUAAGUGGGAAACGAUGUGGGAAGGCCCAGACAGCCAGGAUGUUGGCUUAGAAGCAGCCAUCAUUUAAAGAAAGCGUAAUAGCUCACUGGUCGAGUCGGCCUGCGCGGAAGAUGUAACGGGGCUAAACCAUGCACCGAAGCUGCGGCAGCGACGCUGAUGCGUUGUUGGGUAGGGGAGCGUUCUGUAAGCCUGCGAAGGUGUGCUGUGAGGCAUGCUGGAGGUAUCAGAAGUGCGAAUGCUGACAUAAGUAACGAUAAAGCGGGUGAAAAGCCCGCUCGCCGGAAGACCAAGGGUUCCUGUCCAACGUUAAUCGGGGCAGGGUGAGUCGACCCCUAAGGCGAGGCCGAAAGGCGUAGUCGAUGGGAAACAGGUUAAUAUUCCUGUACUUGGUGUUACUGCGAAGGGGGGACGGAGAAGGCUAUGUUGGUAGGGCGACGGUUGUCCCGGUUUAAGCGUGUAGGCUGGUUUUCCAGGCAAAUCCGGAAAAUCAAGGCUGAGGCGUGAUGACGAGGCACUACGGUGCUGAAGCAACAAAUGCCCUGCUUCCAGGAAAAGCCUCUAAGCAUCAGGUAACAUCAAAUCGUACCCCAAACCGACACAGGUGGUCAGGUAGAGAAUACCAAGGCGCUUGAGAGAACUCGGGUGAAGGAACUAGGCAAAAUGGUGCCGUAACUUCGGGAGAAGGCACGCUGAUAUGUAGGUGAAGUCCCUCGCGGAUGGAGCUGAAAUCAGUCGAAGAUACCAGCUGGCUGCAACUGUUUAUUAAAAACACAGCACUGUGCAAACACGAAAGUGGACGUAUACGGUGUGACGCCUGCCCGGUGCCGGAAGGUUAAUUGAUGGGGUUAGCGCAAGCGAAGCUCUUGAUCGAAGCCCCGGUAAACGGCGGUACCGUAACUAUAACGGUCCUAAGGUAGCGAAAUUCCUUGUCGGGUAAGUUCCGACCUGCACGAAUGGCGUAAUGAUGGCGAGGCUGUCUCCACCCGAGACUCAGUGAAAUUGAACUCGCUGUGAAGAUGCAGUGUACCCGCGGCAAGACGGAAAGACCCCGUGAACCUUUACUAUAGCUUGACACUGAACAUUGAGCCUUGAUGUGUAGGAUAGGUGGGAGGCUUAGAAGUGUGGACGCCAGUCUGCAUGGAGCCGACCUUGAAAUACCACCCUUUAAUGUUUGAUGUUCUAACGUUGACCCGUAAUCCGGGUUGCGGACAGUGUCUGGUGGGUAGUUUGACUGGGGCGGUCUCCUCCUAAAGAGUAACGGAGGAGCACGAAGGUUGGCUAAUCCUGGUCGGACAUCAGGAGGUUAGUGCAAUGGCAUAAGCCAGCUUGACUGCGAGCGUGACGGCGCGAGCAGGUGCGAAAGCAGGUCAUAGUGAUCCGGUGGUUCUGAAUGGAAGGGCCAUCGCUCAACGGAUAAAAGGUACUCCGGGGAUAACAGGCUGAUACCGCCCAAGAGUUCAUAUCGACGGCGGUGUUUGGCACCUCGAUGUCGGCUCAUCACAUCCUGGGGCUGAAGUAGGUCCCAAGGGUAUGGCUGUUCGCCAUUUAAAGUGGUACGCGAGCUGGGUUUAGAACGUCGUGAGACAGUUCGGUCCCUAUCUGCCGUGGGCGCUGGAGAACUGAGGGGGCUGCUCCUAGUACGAGAGGACCGGAGUGGACGCAUCACUGGUGUUCGGGUUGUCAUGCCAAUGGCACUGCCCGGUAGCUAAAUGCGGAAGAGAUAAGUGCUGAAAGCAUCUAAGCACGAAACUUGCCCCGAGAUGAGUUCUCCCUGACCCUUUAAGGGUCCUGAAGGAACGUUGAAGACGACGACGUUGAUAGGCCGGGUGUGUAAGCGCAGCGAUGCGUUGAGCUAACCGGUACUAAUGAACCGUGAGGCUUAACCUU
RNAcentral lists this ribosomal RNA (2903 nucleotides) under Escherichia coli. RNAcentral's name for it is "23S ribosomal RNA". It matches the Rfam family "Bacterial large subunit ribosomal RNA". The record is from RNAcentral. Lineage: Bacteria; Pseudomonadati; Pseudomonadota; Gammaproteobacteria; Enterobacterales; Enterobacteriaceae.